GUCAGGGAUCCGGGUCUGUUAGGAUCACUCCGCCCUCUGCGGGUGUCCCGUAUGAUUGAACACGCGCUCUCUUCAUGCUCGUUACACUGACGUAAUGUGUUUUCAUAGAGCUGAUUGGCUGAUUCCUGUGGCAGAUGACAGAGAGAGGAGUGCGUGAUGGAUCCGUCCGUCUCCUCAGCUGAAGUGUUUGGACAGGCUGAUGUCCACACAGCACCUGAUCGUCCUCCUGAUAGAGCGACACUAAUCUUCUUAUCAUGUGUUACCUGGAUGGAUGCACAAUGUCCACUGUCUGCAAGCAUCAGAUACUGCUGCUGUUUGUUCCAGUUCAUCUCUGACAGUUUGUUAUAUUUACACGUCAGUGAGUGAAAUCCUUUAAGAUGCUGAUAAUCUAAAUAUUAACACGUUUUCUUCUGCGUCUUUUUCUACACAUUUUAAAACAUAUUUGGUUUAAACUGGUGUAAGAUAAAUAAACUUUCACUUAAUGUUAAGAAAACAAACCUAUAAAUGUUUAGAAGAUAAACUCCAACACACCUGCCAGUGAUGAGUUGAACUGGAGAUUG
Long non-coding RNA from Lates calcarifer (barramundi perch), 560 nucleotides. RefSeq lists it as uncharacterized. NCBI's taxonomy places the organism in Eukaryota, Metazoa, Chordata, Actinopteri, Centropomidae. The transcript has 3 exons. The record is from RefSeq and is a predicted model, not a curated record.